This 301-nucleotide ribosomal RNA is filed under the name uncultured bacterium. Its description in RNAcentral is "partial 16S ribosomal RNA". It matches the Rfam family "Bacterial small subunit ribosomal RNA", at positions 509 to 807 of the family's 1533-position model. The record is from RNAcentral.
CAGUCGCCACGGUAAUACGUAGGGUGCAAGCGUUAAUCGGAAUUACUGGGCGUAAAGCGUGCGCAGGCGGUUAUAUAAGACAGAUGUGAAAUCCCCGGGCUCAACCUGGGAACUGCAUUUGUGACUGUAUAGCUAGAGUACGGCAGAGGGGGAUGGAAUUCCGCGUGUAGCAGUGAAAUGCGUAGAUAUGCGGAGGAACACCGAUGGCGAAGGCAAUCCCCUGGGACUGUACUGACGCUCAUGCACGAAAGCGUGGGGAGCAAACAGGAUUAGAUACCCCGGUAGUCCCUGUCUCUUAUAC